RNAcentral lists this transfer RNA (73 nucleotides) under Crassvirales sp. RNAcentral describes it as "tRNA-Gly". It matches the Rfam family "tRNA". From Rfam's summary of the family: Transfer RNA (tRNA) molecules are approximately 80 nucleotides in length. Their secondary structure includes four short double-helical elements and three loops (D, anti-codon, and T loops). Lineage: Duplodnaviria; Heunggongvirae; Uroviricota; Caudoviricetes; Crassvirales. The record is from RNAcentral.
GUCAUGUUAGUUUAGUGGUAAAAUGCAACACUUCCAAUGUUGAUUCGUGGGUUCAAUUCCCACACAUGACUCA